UCUACUUUGCCAUCCUCAAUCCACUUAUUGUCUUUGAGCCUCCUGGAAAAGUUCAGUUUUUAAGAGGACUAGAAAGAAUGGGCUGAAACCACAUCAAAAGUGGUGCAGGUGAGACGUCUAAACCGGUAGAAUGGGUUCUCAGGAGAGAAGAGCCCAACAUGUAAUUUGUAGACAGCGGGAUAAACGUGGGCCCUAUCUGUGGCAAAGGGUUUUAGAGAGGUUCAGAGUUUGCUUGAGGUGUUAUGUCUUUGUCUCCUAAAUAUGUCCCUGUCACGCACUGGCUUUGACAUGGGAAUAUUGUCAAGCCUCACUAGCCUAUGGAUUACCUCCACAUAACUCUGGGAGGAGGAUGAAUGACGGGAUUUCACACUGACUUUAUCUCCCUGCGGUCACAGUUUCCCUGACAGUGGGCAGGCAUAUUCCUUUACUGCAUGGUCUCAGUUACUUUCUCAUUUUCAGGUUGCUGAUGGCCUAGAGUAGCUGGAGAAAAGCUAGCUAUACAGAGUAAAUCCGCUUUAGCCCUCAAUUGGUUUUUCAGCCGCAUUUGACCUGGUUGACUUUGUUCCCCCCUUGAAACCGUCUUGUGUUCUUGGCUUCCUUGUGACCCCUUGAGACUCUUCCAGCUCCUCUGGUCUGGCCUUCUCAGCCCCAUUUCUGGACACAUAUGCAGUGUGGAGUUCUCUGGGCCCUUACGUGGUCCUCUCUGUGAGGGACUCUCUUCCUUCUGGUGGCUCUGCGUGUGGUCUGUGCCUCUAGCUCAGACUGUCCUCAGAGUCCAGCUUCUCUUCUGCUCAGCUGCCUUGCAGCCAUGAGCUUUGCAUGUGGGAAACAGCUUACCUCCCUCCUCCCCAGACUGGCUUGCUUUUUACUCUUUCCUCCAAGAUUUGUGGCAUGAUCAUCUUCUCCUAGCUCAGGCCAGGAGUUCUUGAUUCUCCCCUCUCUGUCAUCC
This 949-nucleotide long non-coding RNA is filed under the name Marmota monax (woodchuck). The record is from RNAcentral. Lineage: Eukaryota; Metazoa; Chordata; Mammalia; Rodentia; Sciuridae.